RNAcentral lists this ribosomal RNA (402 nucleotides) under uncultured bacterium. RNAcentral's name for it is "bacterial SSU rRNA". It matches the Rfam family "Archaeal small subunit ribosomal RNA", at positions 339 to 742 of the family's 1478-position model. The record is from RNAcentral.
GCGCGAAAACUUUACAAUGCGGGAAACCGUGAUAAGGGAAUCUCGAGUGCCAGCAUAUAAUGUUGGCUGUCCAGAUGCCUAAAAAGCAUCUGUUAGCAAGGGCCGGGCGAGACCGGUGCCAGCCGCCGCGGUAACACCGGCGGCCCGAGUGGUAACCGCUUUUAUUGGGUCUAAAGGGUCUGUAGCCGGCCAAGUAAGUCCCUUGGGAAAUCUGGCAGCUUAACUGUCAGGCUGCUAGGGGAUACUGCUAGGCUUGGGACCGGGAGAGGUGAGAGGUACCUUGGGGUAGGGGUGAAAUCUUGUGAUCCUCGGGGGACCACCAGUGGCGAAGGCGUCUCACCAGAACGGGUCCGACGGUAAGGGACGAAAGCUAGGGGCACGAACCGGAUUAGAAACCCUUGU